GUUCCUCCACGUACCCCAUUCCCGAAACGACAUAACGUAGGGAAAUGUCGAUUAAAUCUACCUGAUCAUCCCAUCACGCUAACACACACCUGUUACAAAUCCAAUUACUCCUCCAUUAUACGCCUCUCCGAACACACGCAUCGGUUCCUGAUUAACAAAAAUCCAAGUAUAUCUUCCACAAAACGGAUUGCAAUUAUUAACCGACGAACACACAAUUUCCCAAAUUCUUCACCGCAAAUAUUCAGAAUACCAAGUCAAAUAAGAACGACAUCAUUCACCCUUAGGCCAUCAUCAUCUUCCCACUGUGUUCAUGAUUUCUAAAACCCAAACUUUGGGUUUUAAAACUGAUUCGACUAUGUCAUAGUUGUGAAGUUGAAGAGAAGUAAAGUGGUUGACUUUUUUCCUUUAUCUUAUAAUAAUGAUAAUAUAAUGAAAAUUGAUGAUAUAGUUGAAUCUCCUAUUUGGAAUGACAAUCUUCUGAGCUGAAUUUUUGUUAAUUUUUUGGUUAAAUCCAAUACACAAGAUGCUGAUGGCUGAUGUUCAUACAAAGCAAAAUUACUGAAGAAAAUAUUCAAUGGAUCAUGAUAGCAAGUAAAAUCUUGAUCAAUUCCGAAAAAAAAAAAAAUAGUAAUAACAUGCCCAAUAAAGAAAAUGUAAGAUGUAUGAAUUUUUUUGGUUUCUGUUGGCAUUUUUAUGUAACAUUGAUGACAACUUUUUAAUUAUUAAUUAAAGUGUUUUUGACCAGUAUAAUAA
This is a long non-coding RNA of Lactuca sativa (garden lettuce), 753 nucleotides long. RefSeq lists it as uncharacterized. The record is from RefSeq and is a predicted model, not a curated record. NCBI's taxonomy places the organism in Eukaryota, Viridiplantae, Streptophyta, Magnoliopsida, Asterales, Asteraceae.